Molecule: non-coding RNA, 95 nt
Filed under: Amorphochlora amoebiformis
Lineage: Eukaryota; Cercozoa; Chlorarachniophyceae
Source: RNAcentral
GACGGGGAGAACGAUGCUAGCAAACAGGGGAAAAAAAAGGCAUGGUGGUAAUAUGAAGAGAGUAUAUAUAUAUAUAUAUAUAGAUGAUAUGCAUU